CUGCUGCCUUCCGUAGGAGUCUGGGCCGUGUCUCAGUCCCAAUGUGGCCGGCCAACCUCUCAGUCCGGCUACUGAUCGUCGCCUUGGUGAGCCGUUACCUCACCAACUAGCUAAUCAGACGCGAGUCCAUCUCAGAGCGAUAAAUCUUUGGCAGUCAGAGCCAUGCGACCCAACUGCAUCAUGCGGUAUUAGCAGUUGUUUCCAACUGUUAUUCCCCAUCCAAGGCAGGUUA
RNAcentral lists this ribosomal RNA (232 nucleotides) under uncultured bacterium. RNAcentral's name for it is "partial 16S ribosomal RNA". The record is from RNAcentral.